CACUCCUGCGGGAGGCAGCAGUGGGGAAUAUUGCACAAUGGGCGCAAGCCUGAUGCAGCCAUGCCGCGUGUAUGAAGAAGGCCUUCGGGUUGUAAAGUACUUUCAGCGGGGAGGAAGGCGAUAAGGUUAAUAACCUUGUUGAUUGACGUUACCCGCAGAAGAAGCACCGGCUAACUCCGUGCCAGCAGCCGCGGUAAUACGGAGGGUGCAAGCGUUAAUCGGAAUUACUGGGCGUAAAGCGCACGCAGGCGGUCUGUCAAGUCGGAUGUGAAAUCCCCGGGCUCAACCUGGGAACUGCAUUCGAAACUGGCAGGCUAGAGUCUUGUAGAGGGGGGUAGAAUUCCAGGUGUAGCGGUGAAAUGCGUAGAGAUCUGGAGGAAUACCGGUGGCGAAGGCGGCCCCCUGGACAAAGACUGACGCUCAGGUGCGAAAGCGUGGGGAGCAAACAGUAUUAGAAACCCGGGUAGUCCC
RNAcentral lists this ribosomal RNA (471 nucleotides) under uncultured organism. RNAcentral describes it as "partial 16S ribosomal RNA". It matches the Rfam family "Bacterial small subunit ribosomal RNA", at positions 334 to 797 of the family's 1533-position model. The record is from RNAcentral.